UCAUAUCCAAUUAGCGGAGGAAAAGAAACCAACAGGGAUUGCCCUAGUAACGGCGAGUGAAGCGGCAACAGCUCAAAUUUGAAAUCUGGCGUCUUUGGCGUCCGAGUUGUAAUUUGCAGAGGGCGCUUUGGCAUUGGCAGCGGUCCAAGUUCCUUGGAACAGGACGUCACAGAGGGUGAGAAUCCCGUACGUGGUCGCUAGCCUUUACCGUGUAAAGCCCCUUCGACGAGUCGAGUUGUUUGGGAAUGCAGCUCUAAAUGGGAGGUAAAUUUCUUCUAAAGCUAAAUACUGGCCAGAGACCGAUAGCGCACAAGUAGAGUGAUCGAAAGAUGAAAAGCACUUUGGAAAGAGAGUUAAAAAGCACGUGAAAUUGUUGAAAGGGAAGCGCUUGCAGCCAGACUUGCCUGUAGUUGCUCAUCCGGGUUUUUACCCGGUGCACUCUUCUAUAGGCAGGCCAGCAUCAGUUUGGGCGGUUGGAUAAAGGUCUCUGUCACGUACCUCCUCUCGGGGAGAACUUAUAGGGGAGACGUAAUGCAACCAGCCUGGACUGAGGUCCGCGCAUCUGCUAGGAUGCUGGCGUAAUGGCUGUAAGCGGCCCGUCUU
RNAcentral lists this ribosomal RNA (603 nucleotides) under uncultured fungus. RNAcentral's name for it is "eukaryotic LSU rRNA". It matches the Rfam family "Eukaryotic large subunit ribosomal RNA", at positions 38 to 655 of the family's 3401-position model. The record is from RNAcentral. Lineage: Eukaryota; Fungi.